This 303-nucleotide long non-coding RNA is filed under the name Carica papaya (papaya). Its description in RNAcentral is "long non-coding RNA (CPAP_LNC016111)". Lineage: Eukaryota; Viridiplantae; Streptophyta; Magnoliopsida; Brassicales; Caricaceae. The record is from RNAcentral.
CAUUGACAGAGAUUCGGAAUUCUGAGCUCCCUCCCUGUUCUGCAUCCUUCUUGCGGGCUACUAGGGCGGGGUCAACUGUCUGGGCUUCCCUUAUUCUCUGGAUUAACUCGGGCUGGACUGUCAAGUGGUCCAAACAUGUGACUCUCUUUAGAUCCUGAAGUCGAACCUGUUGCGUGGCCCCAAUUGGUCUGCAUUCUGAAACCAUCAAAUGGGCUAAGACCCCUGCAUUUUUCCUGCUAAGAGCAUCUGCUACCACGUUGCCCUUACCCGGAUGGUAUAAGAUAUCAUAAUCAUAGUCCUUAA